UUCGUCUGUACAUAAAGAGGAUGAGAACCUCCGAAGGAGGUUUGAGCCGAGCGCAGCGAGACAACGUUGCUUCAGCAACGGCCC
This 84-nucleotide small RNA is filed under the name Erwinia persicina. RNAcentral describes it as "partial RtT sRNA". It matches the Rfam family "RtT RNA", at positions 1 to 85 of the family's 130-position model. Rfam says of the family: This family represents a bacterial cis-regulatory element known as RtT RNA. The exact function of RtT is unknown although it is thought that it may be involved in changing the cellular response in relation to amino acid starvation. Lineage: Bacteria; Pseudomonadati; Pseudomonadota; Gammaproteobacteria; Enterobacterales; Erwiniaceae. The record is from RNAcentral.